AAUAUAAAAUAAAUGCAAUAGCUCUCAUUUUUAAUUACGAGAUCGAAAUUUAAUUGGCGAAGAAGCCGCACGUUGUGGAUUUCAGAACAUGAACAUGGCGUCGCGAGUGUUAUCAUGUGCAGCAACCAUGGUCACUCCCCCGAAGCUCAAUGGCAUGCCUGAAUCUUCUAUGACUUGUUACCCUUCACUACUACUACUGUCUUCAUCUUCACCUUCAAAGGCAGCCGCUAAGGUUACGCUUCGAAUUGGGUCGGUAAAGUGCAAGGCUCUGGGAGAGAGCUCUCAGAAUUCCUUCGAUCGAACGGUCUAUCAGGGAAUUUACGGCCCUUGGACCGUUGAUUCCUCCGAUGUUCGAGAGGUUGUUUUAUACAGAGCGGGGUUGGUGACCGCUGCCUCAUCAUUUGUUGUUGCUGCAUCAACUGCCCUUUUACCUGAAAACUCUUUGUUUGAUAUUAUCAAGCAAAAUCUUGAUCUGUUUUACACAAUUGGUGCUGGUGGUUUGGGCUUGUCUUUAUUUUUAAUUCACAUCUAUGUUACUGAGAUUAAGCGCACUCUUCAAGCAUUGUGGGGACUUGGUGUUGUUGGAUCUUUGGCAACUUACACGAGCCUUGCUCUACCAGCUGGUGAAAACUUGGUACAAUAUGUUGUCAAUCACCCAUCGGCAGUCUGGUUUGUUGGUCCUCUUUUUGCAGCACUAACAGGACUUGUAUUCAAAGAAGGCCUCUGCUAUGGAAAGCUGGAAGCUGGAGUUCUCACAUUCAUUAUACCUACAGUUCUUCUUGGGCACCUGACUGGUUUGAUGGAUGAUGGAGCAAAGCUUACUCUGCUAGGCUCGUGGAUGGUCCUUUUUGUGAUAUUUGCCGGAAGAAAGUUUACUCAACCAAUUAAGGAUGACAUUGGUGACAAAUCUGUUUUCAUGUUCAAUUCUCUUCCUGAAGACGAGAAGAAAACCUUGCUUGAGAAACUUGAGCAACAAAAAGUAUAGUCAGAAUCUUAAGUAGGAAGAGAUGCCAAAACAAACCUUAAUUGGACAGGAAAUUACAUGAACUGGACUGCAGAGAGGUUUUUGAGAUGUUGAAUAUCCUUGAUGAUAUUGGAGAUAGAUCAGUUUGAAGCAGAAGAUUGGUCUUGAAUUGUUGAAAGUACCAAUUGUGAGUCUCCUUCAAAAAUAACCUGAGUGUGUUUGGAUUGAGCCGCCAUUUCCGUGGCUAGGAGAGCUGCUGUUGCUUCAGCGACAAGAGGGUUCUAGGUCUGGAUUUUAUCAGUUUGAAUGCUAUGAUUCAGCCAACGUGAUGUUUCCACUUCAUCAAAAAUACUGAUUUUUUUUUAUUAUUUUUUUUAAAGUUUUCCGUCAGAUUUGAAUUUUAGAUUUUAUAGUAACACUUGAUUUAAAACAAAGUCGUAAAGAGUUGUGUAUUAGUGCUUGUA
This is an RNA transcript of Carya illinoinensis, 1428 nucleotides long. RefSeq lists it as uncharacterized. Lineage: Eukaryota; Viridiplantae; Streptophyta; Magnoliopsida; Fagales; Juglandaceae. The record is from RefSeq and is a predicted model, not a curated record. The transcript has 6 exons.